RNAcentral lists this long non-coding RNA (864 nucleotides) under Chrysemys picta bellii (western painted turtle). RNAcentral describes it as "lncRNA (ENSCPBG00000013988.1)". Lineage: Eukaryota; Metazoa; Chordata; Testudines; Emydidae. The record is from RNAcentral.
UACAUGGUGUAACAAGGCUAGAGCAGGGGUGAGGAUCUCAUCUCUGGUAUUUAAGGUUGUUUUAAAAUAGGUGUUUGAGGACUAGUAGGUGAGCACAUAAUUACAUUGUAAUGCACCUUCACAAGGGAGCUGGGGUAAGGCUGUGAAUUGAAGCUGAAUGUGUACAUUUCUUUGCCACUGAGUGCUUAACCAUGCAGCUGGACUUGCAACAUAACUUUUUAUUUUACAUUAACAUUUAAACAUUAUUUUCUUUCAUUAUUAAGGAGGUGUGAAAUGGGUUUCCUCCACUCCUGAAAAACAUGCUAGAAAAGAGCUUUGCUCAGGAAAGAACCCAACAGUGAAACUGCAAAAUCUUUUUUAAAAAGAAUACAGUAUUCUGUGCAAAUGAUUCCAAUGGGUUUUGUGAUUGUGUUUGGGGCACUGGUUGUACAGUACUAUAGGGAUUUUUGCCUCCUCUCAGAGCAGACGUGUUUUCUCCUGGGUCUCAUACAGUACUAAGCACAAGAUUAGUGGUUAAAAAUCAUUUUCCCUCAUUGUCCUCAGGCACCCACAAGGAGCUGUGGAGAGAUCACAGGGCUGCCUGCGUCACCAAGAGGACUUCCUCCUUGGUGCACCUAGGCGAUGCAUUCUGUGCCUCCCAUCUGAAAAAAAGACUGUUAUCUGAAAUGAGAAGCCAAUUUCCCAAGAAGAAGCUACAAAAGAUUUCCUGUGUUGGAAAGGUGAACGAGAGUCUGCAGAUUGCAAGAGAGAGAAAAGCAUCUCCUCUUAAAUAUCCACUUCUCCAUCCUGCACAGGCGAAGUAGGUUAGUAGAUUUCUCCUCUUUUGCAGGUGAAUUUCACAUUGUAAUUUUUAAAAAAUAUUGG